This 253-nucleotide ribosomal RNA is filed under the name uncultured bacterium. RNAcentral describes it as "partial 16S ribosomal RNA". It matches the Rfam family "Bacterial small subunit ribosomal RNA", at positions 524 to 776 of the family's 1533-position model. The record is from RNAcentral.
UACGAGUGCCUCAAGCGUUAUCCGGAAUUAUUGGGCGUAAAGGGUGUGUAGGCUGUUAUAUUAGUCCCGUGUUAAAACCUUCGGCUUAACCGAAGAGAUGCAUAGGAAACGGUAUAACUAGAGGAUGCGAGAGGUGAACAGAACUCAUAGUGUAGGGGUGAAAUCCGUUGAUAUUAUGGGGAAUACCAAAUGCGAAGGCAGUUCACUGGCGCACUCCUGACGCUGAAACACGAAAGCGUAGGUAGCGAAUGGG